AAGAUUAAUUACCCAAAGAAGGGCUCGCGUCCGAUUAGCUAGUUGGAGUGGUAAGAGCACACCAAGGCGACGAUCGGUAGCUGGUCUGAGAGGAUGACCAGCCACACUGGGACUGAGACACGGCCCAGACUCCUACGGGAGGCAGCAGUGGGGAAUUUUCCGCAAUGGGCGAAAGCCUGACGGAGCAAGACCGCGUGAGGGAGGAAGGCUCUUGGGUUGUAAACCUCUUUUCUUUGGGAAGAAGCACUGACGGUACCAAAGGAAUCAGCAUCGGCUAACUCCGUGCCAGCAGCCGCGGUAAUACGGAGGAUGCAAGCGUUAUCCGGAAUCAUUGGGCGUAAAGCGUCCGCAGGUGGCGGCUCAAGUCGGCUGUCAAAGACAGUGGCUCAACUACUGAAAGGCAGUGGAAACUGAACAGCUAGAGGCAGGUAGGGGCAGAGGGAAUUCCCGGUGUAGCGGUGAAAUGCGUAGAGAUCGGGAAGAACACCAGUGGCGAAAGCGCUCUGCUGGACCUGGACUGACACUGAGGGACGAAAGCUAGGGGAGCGAAUGGGAUUAGAUACCCCAGUAGUCCUAGCCGUAAACGAUGGAGACUAGGUGUUGCCCGUAUCGACCCGGGCAGUGCCGCAGCUAACGCGUU
Molecule: ribosomal RNA, 640 nt
Filed under: Phormidium sp. WUC1516
Lineage: Bacteria; Bacillati; Cyanobacteriota; Cyanophyceae; Oscillatoriales; Oscillatoriaceae
Description: bacterial SSU rRNA
Rfam family: Bacterial small subunit ribosomal RNA
Source: RNAcentral